UUGACCUCGAAUCAGGUAGGAAUACCCGCUGAACUUAAGCAUAUCAAUAAGCGGAGGAAAAGAAACCAACAGGGAUUGCCCCAGUAACGGCGAGUGAAGCGGCAACAGCUCAAAUUUGAAAUCUGGCCCCUUGGGGCCCGAGUUGUAAUUUGCAGAGGAUACUUUUGGCGAGGCGCCUUCCGAGUUCCCUGGAACGGGACGCCAUAGAGGGUGAGAGCCCCGUCUGGUUGGAUGCCGAGCCUCUGUAAAGUUCCUUCGACGAGUCGAGUAGUUUGGGAAUGCUGCUCUAAAUGGGAGGUAUAUGUCUUCUAAAGCUAAAUAUAGGCCAGAGACCGAUAGCGCACAAGUAGAGUGAUCGAAAGAUGAAAAGCACUUUGGAAAGAGGGUUAAAAAGCACGUGAAAUUGUUGAAAGGGAAGCGCUUGUGACCAGACGUGGGCCUGUCGGAUCAUCCAGCGUUCUCGCUGGUGCACUCCGGCGGGCUCAGGCCAGCAUCAGCUCGUCCCGGGGGACAAAGGCAGCGGGAAUGUGGCUCCUUCGGGAGUGUUAUAGCCCGCUGUGUAAUGCCCUGGGGCGGGCUGAGGUUCGCGCAUCUGCAU
RNAcentral lists this ribosomal RNA (598 nucleotides) under Claviceps microcephala. Its description in RNAcentral is "eukaryotic LSU rRNA". It matches the Rfam family "Eukaryotic large subunit ribosomal RNA", at positions 1 to 608 of the family's 3401-position model. The record is from RNAcentral. Lineage: Eukaryota; Fungi; Ascomycota; Sordariomycetes; Hypocreales; Clavicipitaceae. RNAcentral also lists the same sequence under 1 other name.